Long non-coding RNA from Bombus pyrosoma, 3173 nucleotides. RefSeq lists it as uncharacterized. The record is from RefSeq and is a predicted model, not a curated record. Lineage: Eukaryota; Metazoa; Arthropoda; Insecta; Hymenoptera; Apidae. The transcript has 3 exons.
ACAUCGAGAUUAGCAAAUUGUUUAAGUAAUCGUCGCAGUUAAUAAGUUCGAGUUAACUUCAGUGUCUUCGGAUCUGAACCUUCGAUGGUGAUGAUAUUAGAUUGCAUCAGUUUGCAGGAUUUACAGAUGAAAUGUCUGUUUUUUUAAAAACCAUUUAUAAAAUAUCAGUUACCAUUGAAAAUUUGAGUAUUUUUAGUUCAGUGUGUAAUUAGUUUCAAAUUGGAAGAAAUGAAAAAUUUACAUAUUACGAGAUCAUCGUACAAUCGAUGCAUAUUUCUUUUGGUUUUCGUCAUUUCCGAUUCUUUUCGUUGAUUAAGACGGGAACGAGGACGAAACGUAAAAAUUAGAGAAACUCCAUCUUCCGACAAUUUCUCAAACUUUCCAUCUCUCUCAUCUAUCGAGCAUCUUAUUCUCUUUCAUAAGAUAUUUCCUAUAGAAAUGAAAAACUACAAUAUUUAUGAGACGAUCUGGAAUCUGCGUGUGAGACGUGCUUUCUUUCGAAGUUGAAUUCAUUAAAUUUCACGCUGUCGUUGAUUGGUGCACAGCAGAUUAAAGAAGGAGAAACUUUCUGUAACACACGUGAAUUAAAUGCUAACAAUGUUAUCGAACGUAAUUCUUUCGAAUGUGGAUAAUGUAUCGUAAAAAUUGUUGGCAGUUUUAAAUUUAGUACUUCAACGGGCUUAUGUAAAUGUUAAGACAAUUCAACAAGUUGGUUCGUGAAAUCCAAGGCUGAUGAUUGUUCAUCAAACAAUGAACGAAAAGAGGAAGUUGGAAGAAUGCCAUUGACGAUAAUUACUUGUAAAUUAACUAAUCCACGACGAACAGCAAGAAAAAUAGCGCUUCAGACAAUGAUUUCCUGCAGAUGCGUGAAAAUUUGUAGUACCAUGAUAAUAGGAAAAGAAAGUGAAAAAUAGAAGGACGAGGAAGUAAAGAAAAUGGAAAAUGGAAAAAGGAAUAGAGAAGCAAGUGAAAGGAUUAGAGUUACUUAUUAGAUCACAUAUUAGAAAGGAAAAAAGCGUAAAAAAUAAGGAAAAGAACUAAAAAAAAAAAAAAGGUAAAGAAAAUGAAGAAUGAAAAGGAUACCGGAAAAAUUGAAAACAAUAGAAAAGGUAGAGAAAAAUGAAUAAAUUAAAAAGAAAUGAUACGUAGAUACAAAUGAAAAAGUGAAGAAAGUCGAUAAAUGGAUCCACGUGAGUCAAACGGUAAACAAAAGCUUAAACGAGAUAGUCGUCAAAUAGAAGAUAGUCAUCAGAGAUAGAUUUUUAAGGCAGUUUUUUUACUCGUGACAAAACUCGUGAUAUUAUACAAUAUUCGGAAACGUGUUUGAGAGAUAGCGAUGAAUAUGUAGUCGUUAAAGAGGCAAUGCUUGAUAAAGAUAAACGUGCAAAACACGUGCCAAAAGCACUGUUUCGUUUGAAGAAGAUAAUAAUCGCUUGGUGAUCGUCUGCAGAAUGGCAUUACCAUUUCUUACAAACAAGGAUUAUAAUUAUCUCAUAAAAAGAAACAUAUUGUAAAUCAGAUAAAAUGCAUAUGGAAUUGAUAAAGCAGCAAUCCGCACUAGUGACACAAUUGGAAAUUAAUUCUAUUGUGCAUAAAGUAACGUUUAAGAACAAUUACGUAAUCACGUGUAAAUAUUAGUAAUAUAUAACAGUAAUUAGAUCAAUGAUUAUAUUAACAAUAUUAUUCGAUAUAGUAAAUAUAGUGAACUACACUAUUGUACUAGCUUACUACAUUAAUAUAGGGGAUAAAACUUAACUUUUAAAUUUAGUGAACGAUAAUAAAAUGUAAUGAAUUAUAAUGCUUAACUUAACUGCUUAAAUUAUAUGCUAAUAUAUAUAAGAUGGUGGCAUAAUGGUACUCAGCCACGAUUUGAAUAAGAAAUAUAAAGAUAUUUGUUCUGCUGGCAUGAAGACAUCAUUAAUGCAUAAUUGACAAAAAAUAUUGUGAGAUAUUCACCGAGAUACUGAACUUAAAAUGUCACAUGUAACAGAUAACCUUAGGGUAGAUAUAAUACUGUAUAUAUUACUAUAAUCCCAUUGGUAUGACAGAAAGUAAAUGUAUUAUUUAUAAUUCAUUUUAAUAAGAUGCUGACGGCAGAAAGUUGACAGCGAUCGUGAAAGUAGCUUACAAGGCUCGCAAAUACUUUCUCAAUGUAAUCAUCGAAAUGAUUAAGUUAUGUAAGAAAGUGGCAACAUUCGAAGAUAUAAAUUUUUAAUCGGACAAAGCCCGAAUGAAUGAGGCAACAGGUCGAACGAUGACACUCCGUAAUAUAUUUCGUUCAACGUGUUUCUGUACUUCUGGUCUAAUAUUAUUAUUUAACAUUGACGAGAUAUUACUUUGUAAUGUUUAAUAUUAAUUAUUUGAUAUCUAACGUCACUUUAUAAUCUAUACAUAAUUUAUAUUUAUCGUAUCGGCGUGCGAUAAAUUUUUAAAUCUUUUUUCCUCGGAAGCAAAGCGUCUUGUGAAAAAUUGCUAUUCUGUAUCUUCGACUUAUUUUCCAUCGACAUAGCGUAAGAGAAGACCGACGAUAUAUCUUUUAAUUUUGUCUCAUAGUGUGUCUCAUUUUUUGUAGAAUUGAAACCGAUAAAGGGUUGAUUCUAUCAUGUAAUAAACUUUUUGCUGAUCUUUUCUCACUUUAGCGAGUGGCUUGUGCGACAGUAAAGCAUUCAGCUAAGCCGAAUGCAUUAUUAAUUUUUUGUAUGGAAGUUCUCGACGAAUAAGAACUGAGUGGCGUGACUUGUAUCUGAUAAUCUGAGAGGCCGCAGAAUUGGUCCACCUCUGCUUAUUCACGAUCGAGGUCAAUCCUCAUUUACGACCAUUGUAUCAAACAAAUUUUCAUCUUUAACUUGAAUUUUAAAUUAUAAAUUAUUGAAUAUUAGCUUAAAAUAGAUAUAUUCGAUGAAAUGUAUAAAAUUAUAUUUUUUUAAAUAUCUUAUAACUGUUUCUUUUCAUAUAUUUCACAGGUAAUUAAUCGAGCUUUUAGUAAGUUUAAAUAAUGCUUAAAUAAUACCUAAUAUAUUAUAAUUUGUAAUAAAGAACGUUUAAAAGAUUUGGAGUGAUUAAAUAACACAGAGCGUAAUGAUUUAAUUAUAACACCUAUGAAAGUAACUUUUCCAAGCAUUCUGCCAUUUAAUAUAAUCAAGUGGAAAAUAAUCGCUGCUGUGUACUUAAAC